Molecule: ribosomal RNA, 663 nt
Filed under: Triticum aestivum (bread wheat)
Lineage: Eukaryota; Viridiplantae; Streptophyta; Magnoliopsida; Poales; Poaceae
Description: partial small subunit ribosomal RNA
Source: RNAcentral
AUGUCUAGCCUUACGACCAUCAGUGGCGGCGCCAUGGAGGAGUUGCAGGAAGUAGAGGAGCUCGUCGACACAAGGCUGUCCCUCGUGAUCGGCGCCGCGAGCCGUCCGCCGACGGUCCUGGCGCUGCUGCCGGCGACAUCACCAGAGAACGAAGCGGCGGCACGUAGGAAGAGGAAGGGACAAGAGAACGGUGCAGGCGGCGUCGCUGCUACUUCAAGGCAGCAUAACAAGAGGGCCAAGACGGUGCAAAACAGCAGCGACGUCGACGACGAUGGUGGUGACGCGGCGCGGGACGGGACGAGGAAGAAGCUCAAGCUCACGGUGGAGCAGGCCGCGCUGCUGGAGGAAAGCUUCCGCGCCCACAACGUCCUCUCUCACGGUGAGAAGCACGAUCUUGCGAGGCAGCUUGGGUUGAAGCCGAGGCAGGUGGAGGUGUGGUUCCAGAACAGGAGGGCGCGCACCAAGCUCAAGCAGACGGAGCUCGACUGCGAGCUGCUGCGCCGGUGGUGUGAGCGCCUCAGCGACGACAACGCGCGGCUCCGGCGAGAGCUCGCCGAGACGCUCUCCUGGUCGCCGGCCUUCUUGUCCAGGCUCACGAUGGCUAACGAUAAGGCUGUGUGUUCGUCCUGCAGCAAGCUCACCAGCGGCCGGAUGCCGGCAUGA